UCUAAGUGCACAGAACGUUGGGAAUGCAAUGCUUCUCCAAGUAUCACUCCAUCAGUGUUUACGAUUGCGCAGCCAGUAUCAUCACAGCUCGAUUCGAUCCCUAGAAUAACUGCUGCAGACUUAUCAGAACUGAACUUUUUAACGCUACUUCGUAAUAAUUGUUUCAAAGGAAACAACCUUCCAAAAUAUGUCAGACCGGCAUAUGAAGCUACGUCGUUGACUGAAGAUUUUUAAAGACAGCCAGCGAAAUAGGGUCUAUUGAAG
RNAcentral lists this unclassified non-coding RNA (264 nucleotides) under Athalia rosae (coleseed sawfly). RNAcentral describes it as "misc RNA ENSAEAG00005002761.1". The record is from RNAcentral. Lineage: Eukaryota; Metazoa; Arthropoda; Insecta; Hymenoptera; Athaliidae.